AAUGAACGUUGGCGGCACGCCUAAUACAUGCAAGUCGAACGCGAUCUUCGGAUCGAGUGGCGGACGGGUGAGUAAUACAUGGGAAUCUACCGAGAAGUGGGGAACAACUAUUGGAAACAGUAGCUAAUACCGCAUAAUCCACAUUGGGAAAGCUUUUGCGCUUUUCGAUGAGCCCAUGUCUGAUUAGCUAGUUGGUAAGGUAAAAGCUUACCAAGGCGACGAUCAGUAGCUGGUUUGAGAGGAUGAUCAGCCACACUGGGACUGAGACACGGCCCAGACUCCUACGGGAGGCAGCAGUGGGGAAUCUUGGACAAUGGGGGCAACCCUGAUCCAGCCAUGCCGCGUGAGUGAAGAAGGCCUUAGGGUCGUAAAGCUCUUUCGCCUGUGAUGAUAAUGACAGUAGCAGGUAAAGAAACCCCGGCUAACUCCGUG
This 432-nucleotide ribosomal RNA is filed under the name uncultured bacterium. RNAcentral's name for it is "bacterial SSU rRNA". It matches the Rfam family "Bacterial small subunit ribosomal RNA", at positions 29 to 507 of the family's 1533-position model. The record is from RNAcentral.